CACGUUGGGGAGAGUUAAAAGACUUAGAACUUUUAGGAACUUUUAACACUUGAUAACUCUACAACUAUUUUAGACUUCGGAUACUUGGAACUCGGGAUUUUCUUCUAACCGACAUAAACUAUGUGAGCUACAUGGAGUCAAAUGUCUUGCCCACGUUGGGGAGAGUUGUUCUUUCCUUGCCAUCGGAGUAGAACUUCAUCUUUAUUGAUCACUAUCUCGUCCUUGGGUCCAC
This 232-nucleotide long non-coding RNA is filed under the name Capsicum annuum. RNAcentral describes it as "long non-coding RNA (CANN_LNC021015)". Lineage: Eukaryota; Viridiplantae; Streptophyta; Magnoliopsida; Solanales; Solanaceae. The record is from RNAcentral.